UAGUCCACGCCCUAAACGAUGUUUACUCGAUGUUUGUCACUAGAUGAGCAUCCAAGGGAAACCGUUAAGUAAACCACCUGGGGAGUACGUUCGCAAGAAUGAAACUCAAAGGAAUUGACGGGGUCCGCACAAGCGGUGGAGCGAUGUGGUUUAAUUCGAUGAUACGCGAGGAACCUUACCUAGGCUCUAAUGCGAGCGCUAUCUGGUGAAAGCCGGAGUUCCUUCGGGACGCGAAGCAAGGUGCUGCAUGGUUGUCGUCAGCUCGUGCCGUGAGGUGUUGGGUUAAGUCCCGCAACCGAGCGCAACCCCUAUUGUUAGUUGCCAGCACAUAAUGGUGGGGACUCUAGCAAGACUGCCGGCGUAAGCCGCGAGGAAGGUGGGGAUGACGUCAAAUCAUCAUGGGCCUUUAUGCCCAAAGGGGCUACACACGUGCUACAAUGGUGCAUACAGAGGGUAGCGAAGCAGUGAUGUGGGAGCC
Molecule: ribosomal RNA, 478 nt
Filed under: uncultured bacterium
Lineage: Bacteria
Description: bacterial SSU rRNA
Rfam family: Bacterial small subunit ribosomal RNA
Source: RNAcentral